CAUAUGGGGCAAGCAACUCCUGAUACCGCCAGGAUGGGCUGGUUUAUUCAGUGUCUGUUAGCUGCGUUUAAAAGAAGAAAGGAAGGUGAAAAGAAAGAAAUUUCUCUAUUCAUGAAGUUCUUAAAGUUAUAAUUUUGGUCAAUCAGGUUCUUCUCCAAAUUCAGAUUCUAAAAAAGUGAAAGCACAAACACUGUUUUCAGGACAAGUGUAACUGUUCUUUGUAAAUGUAUUUCACGUCAAUGACCAGCUCACACUGACCUCUGAGUCCGUAGGUUACAAUCUGAUUGACUCAGUACUUAAAAUAAGCUUAACUGGACAUUUUCAAAGAUUAUUUUCACAGAGCUACAAUUCACUCAGGCUCUUUUUUCUGUGGAUCUCAAAACAGGAAUCCUGCCUCAGCAAAUCUAGUAUUUAUUUGUCAGUAUGCUUUGGAGGAGAAAGAAGAAAAUUCUUAAUUUUGUCAACUUAAUAAUAGAAAUUGAAUGUGACUGUUGGGGGAGGCAAGCCUCCUUUCACAAUUAUGAAAGAACACAGGUUUAUUAACCAUGGAGGAUCCCAAAGUGAAGCCUCUGGGUCUCUUCCUAGGUCUGAGUUGACUUGUGGUGUCUUCUUUUUGUCCUUUUCUUCAUAUUCUGAUGAUUCAGACCACUUAACCCUCCUUCAUGCUGACAGAUCACCGUUGGAGCUGUGAGGUUCCUGUUACCCCAAGCUGGUGGCAUAUUCUCUCCAGUUCCCGCUUUCCUCAUUGCCACUGGAAAAAUCCCCUAGGUUUCCUCAGUUUGAAGUUCUGCUUAUUUCAAAAUAGUUUCGUUAUCCCUGCUACUGCGAACAUCUCGCCCUCUUGUUUCCAAGAAAGUUUAAUGAACAGACCUCUUCUCAAACUAAAGAUGAAAUCCCAUCAUUCUACUUAUUUUAUGUAGGAAAUCCACAUCUACAGGACCCUUCAGAGAGGGACCCCUCUUGCCCUGGAGUAAUCCUAUUAAGCACCUUCAUCUCACUGUUUCUAAUUAUAAUAAGAAAGUCAGAAGAAACUCGGUUUCUCCUAUAAUGAAUUCAUACAAGAAUUUCUGCAAGUGACAAAAUGUUGGAGAGAAUGACUUCAACACUCAACAGACUGAUUUUUUUAAAAAAAUAGAUCUGAUUAUUUCCUACAAUGUGAACAGCCUCUGUGUGUCUCCUAUGGCUUGACUGACUCACAAAGUUGUCCUUUCUUUCCCUCCAAUACCAGAAGUUGGAAGGAAACCCCUCCCAGCUACUGUAACAUAUAAGCAUGUAACUCAUUGUCUAAACACUGUAAUCGUGGAGGAUAUCAAAACUUGGCAAAGUGGAGAAGAUUGUUCUGUGCCAUGCAUCAUGAGGUCAUGACCAUCAGUGAAGACUGUCAGAGCCCUCAGUGGCCAGAUGACCCGCGUGCAUCAACUGGCGUGGUGUCACUGAAUUGGAGAUCUCUCCUUGUGUUCCAGGAGUAAACACAUGGAAGAUGUCAUAGACACACAGAAGGGAAUGCUGUGUGAGGUCGUAGCGAGGACUCUCCUCUUCAGACCAGGGCAGGGAACCCAGCACACCAGAGGGAUAUGGCACCUGCAUAACUGCUUCAGUGUUUUUGUUAUUAUUGUUGUUUUUUAUCAAAAUAAAGCAUUGUUUGCUUUGAUUCUCAUUCAGAAUUUUCUUGAAGAUACAUUCCAUCCUUUGAAUUAUAGAAAAUUCCUGUAUUUCAAUGAGGCGAGGACAUAUUCACAGGAAAAUGGAGUUCCCUUAUACGUAUGAAUCUUCUUGUGUCCAUUAAGGAGAUAUGGCAAGACAAACUUUUCCUCAGCACACUCCACAGACAUCCACUGUUAACUCUUCCUGCUUCCAAUGUCCUAGUUCAACAUGUCAGUUCUGGCACUCCAAAAGUUCCUGGACCCAGGACCCUGGACCAGCUGGCUGUCCUACAAUGCAACUCAAUUCACCCAAAUUCUGACACUGUUUACCUGGAGACAGCAUCAGAUUCCACAGUACAGAUGUGGCUAAAGUGACAAGUGUGGAAUCCUCGCUGAGCCUUGACACAGAGGGAAAACGUCUCUUUGAAUGAUAUUUGAGAAUUCUAGAUGGAAGGCCUGUUCCAGGAGGGAACUCCUACCAUGGAAACUACGGUGUGAUAUGAACGAGGUGUGACAGACAGCGAGGAACCCAGAGAGGCCGGGUGGAUCACAGUCCUCUCUGUCUCCAAAGUCUCUGCCAGGUACGGCAAACAAUUAUUUACCAAACAUUUACUUUCCCAUCUCCACAUGAAUUGACCCUGGAAGUCCCAGACCCCCACCGCCAACAUCCCCUGUGUCUUCAGCUUGAGUUGGUAAUUAAGGUGGUGGCUUCAGCCGUUUUGGUGAGUUACUCAGUUUUCCUAGGUUUCUCCCAUGCAUACAUGUUAUUAAACUUUGUUUUCUUUUUCUCCUUUUUUCUGUCUUAUGUCA
This 2453-nucleotide long non-coding RNA is filed under the name Equus caballus (horse). Its description in RNAcentral is "lncRNA (ENSECAG00000044386.1)". Lineage: Eukaryota; Metazoa; Chordata; Mammalia; Perissodactyla; Equidae. The record is from RNAcentral.